RNAcentral lists this transfer RNA (74 nucleotides) under Pseudomonadota bacterium. RNAcentral's name for it is "tRNA-Arg". It matches the Rfam family "tRNA". Rfam says of the family: Transfer RNA (tRNA) molecules are approximately 80 nucleotides in length. Lineage: Bacteria; Pseudomonadati; Pseudomonadota. RNAcentral also lists the same sequence under 1 other name. The record is from RNAcentral.
GCCCCUGUAGCUCAAGAGGAGAGAGCAUCGGACUUCUAAUCCGGAGGCUGCAGGUUCGAGUCCUGCCAGGGGCG